CUUGAAAUGGAAAAGGCUUUUUCCAUGUGUUGAUCAUUAAUUGUUGCCAAAGGCCAAAAGGGGCUUUCAGGAAUGCUAAAUGUAAUCUCUGGCCUUUCCUGAACCUCCUUUCAUGUUCUCUGCCCCAUCUACACACCACAUUUUCGCCCUCAGUGAAUUCAGACACUUUCAGUUUAGAGGAUAAUGCCCUCUGAACAACCUCAGGCCAAAAGGGCAGAGACAGAGAAGCCUCUGGAGGUUCGGAAGGACAGAUUCAUCAGACGGCAGAGCCGGAAGCGAUUUUACACCCCUUCUGCAGGAGUGAGAGGAGUAGCUGUUUGACCCCCGCUGCCUCAGCUGAGGCCAAAAGGCACGGCUGAUUUCCACUUAAGGAUGUCAAAGAGGAAAAGUCUAAUUUCCUGGUUCCUCAUCAGAGUGAAUACUAAUGUCCUUCCUUCUGGGAGGGUUCUGAGGAUGAGACGUGAAGGCCUGAGGAAGCCAGCUGCCAGUUAAGAAAUACAAGUAUCUGAG
Molecule: long non-coding RNA, 510 nt
Filed under: Homo sapiens (human)
Lineage: Eukaryota; Metazoa; Chordata; Mammalia; Primates; Hominidae
Description: HSALNT0065943
Source: RNAcentral